Molecule: non-coding RNA, 667 nt
Organism: Ceratotherium simum simum (southern white rhinoceros)
Lineage: Eukaryota; Metazoa; Chordata; Mammalia; Perissodactyla; Rhinocerotidae
Source: the annotation of a RefSeq genome assembly
GUAACUCCCUGCCUCGUGUCCUGGGCUCACUGUCUUCUGAGCCGGACUGGAGUUCUGAGAGGGUGCUCUGCUCCUCCUGUCAUCUCUCCCUUUCCUUCUGAGGCCAAAGGAGGAAGGCAUGCUGCGGGCUGUAGCCCUCCUUCUAGCUUUCCUGGCUCCUGCCACUCAGGCAUCUUCCAACUUGGAAGGGACACAGAUGUCCAUCACCAGACAGGCUGGGUCAUCUGCUGUAAUCACUUGUGAUAUUCAACAAAGCAGCGACUACGUCCACUGGUACCGGUACCAGGAGGGGAUGGCUCCACAACGCCUUCUCUACUACCAGUUCUCCAGCUCAAAGGUUGUGAGGGAAUCUGGAAUCAGUUCACGGAAAUACCAUGCUUAUGAAGGCUCAGGGAGGACCUGUGAACUUUUAAUCAAUACUCUGGAGGAAAGGGAUUCUGGCGUGUAUUACUGUGCUGCCUGGGAGAGACACAGUGAUUCAGACCUCCCCUACACUGCACCGAAAAUUUUGCUUGUGGCUGCCAAGAGCAGCCUUGGCACACACGAUAGACCAGCCCCUGCCUCCCUUCCUGCCCUGACUUCACUGUGCUCUGAACAAAGAGAGACCCUGAGCUCCAUGCCCAACCCCCACCCUUAUAUCCCACUGGCUAGUCCUGUCUCCCAGUGA